Triplophysa rosa is the source of this 797-nucleotide long non-coding RNA. RefSeq lists it as uncharacterized. The record is from RefSeq and is a predicted model, not a curated record. Lineage: Eukaryota; Metazoa; Chordata; Actinopteri; Cypriniformes; Nemacheilidae. The transcript is spliced from 3 exons.
UCAAAUUAAUUUGGUAAAUAACUUUUUGAGUAAAAGCUUUUUGGACGGAAUGUCUUUAUCUUUCUAGCAGGUGGGGUGAUUCAAUCGGAUUUUAAUCCAAUCCUGAGCGCAUGUUUUCUCCCCUUUCCAGUAAAAUAGCAGGCGAGAUAAACUUAUGUUAGGCCUAGUGUUAACAUUACCUGUUUUUUUACACUGAACUUCUGGUAUAGUUUGAGUCUUUUGUUAAUAUUUUGACAUAUAUUCUCCACCUCCCCAUGUAAUGUUGUUUCAGAUAAUUUUCAUAUCAUAUUAAAUCUUAAAAUACUGUGCGUGUGUGUGUGUGUGUGUGUGCGCGUGUGUGUUCUGUUGUGUGUGUGUUAUUUUGCAGCUUACAGCUCAUUCAUGUGCCACUGGUCUUGCAGUAUUUCAUCUUUUCCAAACAACCGAGUAAAUUUACAGCUCAUUCAAGUGCCACUGGUCUGUUUUUGGAGAAUUUCAUCUUUAAGGUGCUGUGAGAAAGAGCCAUGUCUACCGUGCCGCCACUGAUGAUGACAUUACAAAACACGUAAUACGGUGGUUCAACUUGGCAGCAGAUAGGGGAAACUCAAGGAGCCGUCCCACUGUCAGCACCCAACAGUAGCAUUUCGGUGUUUCACAGUUAACUUCUGUGUUUUGAAGUGUUCGUUUAACAGUUAAGUAGUAACAGUUGAGAUAAAGUUUACUACUUUAAAUAGUUUUGUUUCUAUUCAUCUUCAAAAAACCCAGUUUCCACACAAAAAAAUAAGCAGUGCAACAUUAAUAAGAAUAAAUGUUUCUUG